RNAcentral lists this ribosomal RNA (482 nucleotides) under uncultured Sphingobacteriales bacterium. RNAcentral describes it as "bacterial SSU rRNA". It matches the Rfam family "Bacterial small subunit ribosomal RNA", at positions 898 to 1382 of the family's 1533-position model. Lineage: Bacteria; Pseudomonadati; Bacteroidota; Sphingobacteriia; Sphingobacteriales. The record is from RNAcentral.
AACUUAAAGGAAUUGACGGGGGCCCGCACAAGCGGUGGAGCAUGUGGUUUAAUUCGAUGAUACGCGAGGAACCUUACCUGGGCUCAAAUGUAUGUUGACGUAUUCUGAAAGGGAUACUUCUUCGGACAAUAUACAAGGUGCUGCAUGGUUGUCGUCAGCUCGUGCCGUGAGGUGUCGGGUUAAGUCCCAUAACGAGCGCAACCCCUAUCAUUAGUUGCCAUCAGGUAAUGCUGGGGACUCUAAAGGAACUGCCUACGCAAGUAGUGAGGAAGGUGGGGAUGACGUCAAAUCAGCACGGCCCUUACGUCCAGGGCUACACACGUGUUACAAUGGCCAGUACAGAGGGCAGCCACCCCGCGAGGGGGCGCUAAUCCUAAAAGCUGGUCCCAGUUCGGAUCGGAGUCUGCAACCCGACUCCGUGAAGCUGGAUUCGCUAGUAAUCGCGCAUCAGCCACGGCGCGGUGAAUACGUUCCCGGGCCUU